CUCAUGACGGUGGAAGUGAGCUAUUGGAGCCGGAUUUUACUGCUCUCGGUGGGGGUUUUGGCAACAACAGCCACCGCCCAGAACUGCAGUUACAUUUUACAAGGUCCAAACGGGACAAUACAAAGUCCGGGAUUCCCGUACGGCUAUCCAAAUUAUGCAAACUGUACCUGGACAAUCACCGCCAAAGAGCAGAACAGAAUACAACUUGUUUUCCAGUCCUUUGCGCUAGAGGAAGAUUUUGAUGUCUUGUCUGUUUAUGACGGGUUGCCCCAACAAGGAAGUCUAAGAACAAGGCUUACAGGUUUCCAGCUGCCUCCUCCCAUUGUGAGUACUGGAGUGGUGCUGUCCUUGUUGCUUGUAAGCGACUAUGCUGUCAGUGCUCAAGGAUUUCAGGCAACCUAUGAAGGUGGGUUUGCGUUCGGUGAACUUUUGACAUUCAUAUGCU
Molecule: non-coding RNA, 445 nt
Organism: Thamnophis sirtalis
Lineage: Eukaryota; Metazoa; Chordata; Lepidosauria; Squamata; Natricidae
Source: RefSeq, a predicted model, not a curated record